CUUAGCGGCCUUACCUGACUGUCAAUGUCCAAUCUGGUCAAAUCUCAUAAAGGGGUGGGCCUGGUUAGUACUUGGAUGGGAGACCGCUGGGAAUAUGAGGUGCCACAGUGG
This 111-nucleotide ribosomal RNA is filed under the name Periophthalmus magnuspinnatus. The record is from RNAcentral. Lineage: Eukaryota; Metazoa; Chordata; Actinopteri; Gobiiformes; Gobiidae.